RNAcentral lists this transfer RNA (68 nucleotides) under Marmota monax (woodchuck). RNAcentral describes it as "tRNA.Ala". Lineage: Eukaryota; Metazoa; Chordata; Mammalia; Rodentia; Sciuridae. The record is from RNAcentral.
GGACUGUGGCUCAGCGGUAGAGCGCUUGCUUAGCGUGGGCGAGGCCCUGGGUUCGAUCCUCAGCACCA